RNAcentral lists this ribosomal RNA (227 nucleotides) under Clostridioides difficile. Its description in RNAcentral is "partial 23S ribosomal RNA". It matches the Rfam family "Bacterial large subunit ribosomal RNA", at positions 1 to 226 of the family's 2925-position model. The record is from RNAcentral. Lineage: Bacteria; Bacillati; Bacillota; Clostridia; Peptostreptococcales; Peptostreptococcaceae.
UGGUCAAGUUAUUAAGGGUGCAGGGCGGAUGCCUUGGCACUAGGAGCCGAUGAAGGACGUGAUAAGCUGCGAUAAGCUUCGGGGAGUUGCACGUAAACUUUGAUCCGAAGAUUUCCGAAUGAGGAAACUCACUUAGAGUAAUGUCUAAGUAUCAUUAAGUGAAUACAUAGCUUAAUGAGGGGAACUCAGGGAACUGAAACAUCUAAGUACCUGAAGGAAGAGAAAGA